Molecule: small nuclear RNA, 163 nt
Organism: Nomascus leucogenys (northern white-cheeked gibbon)
Lineage: Eukaryota; Metazoa; Chordata; Mammalia; Primates; Hylobatidae
Gene: U1
Rfam family: U1 spliceosomal RNA
About the family: U1 is a small nuclear RNA (snRNA) component of the spliceosome (involved in pre-mRNA splicing). Its 5' end forms complementary base pairs with the 5' splice junction, thus defining the 5' donor site of an intron.
Source: Ensembl
AUACGUACCUGGCAGGGAGAUGCCACAAUUCCUAAGAUUGUUUUCCCAGGGCAAGCCUUAUCUAUUUCAGGACAGAUGUACUGAUCCCUGAGAUACCUUCAAAUAUGGGAGACUCUACUGCACAAUUUGUGGUAGUGCAGGACUGUGUUCACGCUCUCUUCUG